UAAGGAUGUUAUGAACAUAGCAGAGCACCUAUCUUUGUUAUAUGUUGGGGCCACUUUUGGGUAUAUGCCCAAGAGUGGUAUAGCUAUGUCCUCAGGUAGUUCAAUGUCCAAUUUUGUGAGGAACCUCCAGACUGAUUUCCAGAAUGGUUGUACCAGUCUGCAAUCCCACCAACAAUGGUGGAGCAUUCUUCUUUCUCCACAUCCUCGUCAGCAUUUGCUGUCACCUGAGUUUUGGAUCUUAGCCAUCCUCACUGGUUUGAGGUGAAAUCUCAGGGUUGUUUUGAUUUGCAUUUCCCUUAUGACUAAAGAUGUUGAACAUUUCUUUAGGUGUUUCUCAGCCAUUCAGCAUUCCUCAGCUGUGAAUUCUUUGUUUAGCUCUGAAUCCCAUUUUUUAGUAGGGUUAUGUGUCUUCCUGCAGUCUAACUUCUUGAGUUCUUUGUAUAUUUUGGAUAUUAGCUCUCUAUCUGUUGCAGGAUUGGUAAAGAUCUUUUCCCAAUCCGUUGGUUCCCGUUUGUCCUAACUAUUGUCCUUUGCCUUACAGAAUCUUUGCAGUUUUAUGAGAACCCAUUUGUCUAUUCUUGAACUUAGAGCAUAAGCCACUGGGGUUUUCUUCAGGAAAUUUU
This 623-nucleotide long non-coding RNA is filed under the name Rattus norvegicus (Norway rat). RNAcentral describes it as "long non-coding RNA NONRATT019770". Lineage: Eukaryota; Metazoa; Chordata; Mammalia; Rodentia; Muridae. The record is from RNAcentral.